Molecule: ribosomal RNA, 701 nt
Filed under: Weissella paramesenteroides
Lineage: Bacteria; Bacillati; Bacillota; Bacilli; Lactobacillales; Lactobacillaceae
Description: bacterial SSU rRNA
Rfam family: Bacterial small subunit ribosomal RNA
Source: RNAcentral
UGAUCUGACGAGCUUGCUCUGAUUUGAUUUUAUCUGACAAAGAGUGGCGAACGGGUGAGUAACACGUGGGUAACCUACCUCUUAGCAGGGGAUAACAUUUGGAAACAAGUGCUAAUACCGUAUAAUACCAACAACCGCAUGGUUGUUGGUUGAAAGAUGGUUCUGCUAUCACUAAGAGAUGGACCCGCGGUGCAUUAGCUAGUUGGUAAGGUAACGGCUUACCAAGGCAAUGAUGCAUAGCCGAGUUGAGAGACUGAUCGGCCACAAUGGGACUGAGACACGGCCCAUACUCCUACGGGAGGCAGCAGUAGGGAAUCUUCCACAAUGGGCGCAAGCCUGAUGGAGCAACGCCGCGUGUGUGAUGAAGGGUUUCGGCUCGUAAAACACUGUUAUAAGAGAAGAACGGCACUGAGAGUAACUGUUCAGUGUGUGACGGUAUCUUACCAGAAAGGAACGGCUAAAUACGUGCCAGCAGCCGCGGUAAUACGUAUGUUCCAAGCGUUAUCCGGAUUUAUUGGGCGUAAAGCGAGCGCAGACGGUUAUUUAAGUCUGAAGUGAAAGCCCUCAGCUCAACUGAGGAAUGGCUUUGGAAACUGGAUGACUUGAGUGCAGUAGAGGAAAGUGGAACUCCAUGUGUAGCGGUGAAAUGCGUAGAUAUAUGGAAGAACACCAGUGGCGAAGGCGGCUUUCUGGACUGUAAC